This 658-nucleotide long non-coding RNA is filed under the name Homo sapiens (human). RNAcentral's name for it is "non-protein coding lnc-KLHL32-4:29". Lineage: Eukaryota; Metazoa; Chordata; Mammalia; Primates; Hominidae. The record is from RNAcentral.
AUUCUCCUUUCCCUCCUCUCCAUCUCCCUAUUGCAUUGUGUCUGACUGAUUUUCAGAGCACCUUCGCUGUUUCCCCCUUCUCGUUCCCUUCUCAUAAAAUAUCUAGACAGGAAGGAGGUGGCUGCAGAGGCUGAACAAUCUCAUAUUCUGCCUGCAAUGUCAUCGUUUCUUUCCCCCAUUUUAGGGGGCUGAAGUUGCCCAGCAAGGGAUGCAGAGGAGCUGGAAAAGAAGGGGGGAGCUCUCCAGAGGCAGCUGCGGUCAGGGGCAGGGACUGCCGCCAGAUGUGCCUGCCUUUCUGGGCUUUGAUGAGAAAGGGGCAGCAGGAGGAAAUAUUGGGAGACAAAAGCCCCGGUUUAAAUGAUCAUUUUCUUUAUUUAACAUGGCAGCAGACACUCUCUGCGUAGGAUCAUCAUGCCGAGCAUAAACUGGACUUUCCCACUUGCCUGGCAGGAGUCACACAGAUCCCUGCGUGCUAAAUGAACAUCUGAGGUUUGAGAUGGGGCCCAAGAUGCUUUUCUGACAAGUUUCCUGGUGAUGCAAUGUUGCUGUUGGGGAAACCUCCAUUUGACCCUUGAAUCCUGACUAUUGGAGAAACAGCACCAUAUUUUGGAUACUGAUUCAGACCAUAUACAGCCUUCUGGAGAAUCUUGCCCCAGUC